Physella acuta is the source of this 159-nucleotide long non-coding RNA. RefSeq lists it as uncharacterized. NCBI's taxonomy places the organism in Eukaryota, Metazoa, Mollusca, Gastropoda, Physidae. The record is from RefSeq and is a predicted model, not a curated record.
AGGUGAAAACAAACCGGUUGAUGUUGUUGUCGCUGCCAUUGGUCAGGUGGCUGGCGCUAUACAGAACAUGGUUGUUGAUAUUUCCGAAUUAUUAUCAUAUCAACAGCAAGAUAAAUCUUUGGUUUCAGCUUCGGAUACUGAUCAGGAAAAACAAAAGCG